Molecule: ribosomal RNA, 744 nt
Filed under: uncultured bacterium
Lineage: Bacteria
Description: bacterial SSU rRNA
Rfam family: Bacterial small subunit ribosomal RNA
Source: RNAcentral
AGAGUUUGAUCCUGGCUCAGAACGAACGCUGGCGGCAGGCUUAACACAUGCAAGUCGAGCGGGCGCUUUCGGGCGUCAGCGGCGGACGGGUUAGUAACGCGUGGGAACGUGCCCUUUGCUCUGGAAUAGCCCUGGGAAACCGGGGGUAAUACCGGAUGUGCCCUGAGGGGGAAAGGCUUCGGCCGGCAAGGGAUCGGCCCGCGUCUGAUUAGGUAGUUGGUGCGGUAACGGCGCACCAAGCCGACGAUCGGUAGCUGGUUUGAGAGGAUGAUCAGCAACACUGGGACUGAGACACGGCCCAGACUCCUACGGGAGGCAGCAGUGGGGAAUCUUAGACAAUGGGCGAAAGCCUGAUCUAGCCAUGCCGCGUGGGUGAUGAAGGCCUUAGGGUCGUAAAGCCUUUCGCCGGGGAAGAUAAUGACGGUACCCGGUAAAGAAACCCCGGCUAACCCGUGCCAGCAGCCGCGGUAAUACGGAGGGGGUUAGCGUUGUUCGGAAUGACUGGGCGUAAAGCGCGCGUAGGCGGAUCGCAAAGUUGGGGGUGAAAGCCCAGGGCUCAACCCUGGAAUUGCCUUCAAGACUCGCGGUCUGGAGUUCGAGAGAGGUGGGUGGAAUUCCGAGUGUAGAGGUGAAAUUCGUAGAUAUUCGGAGGAACACCAGUGGCGAAGGCGGCCCACUGGCUCGACACUGACGCUGANNCNNGAAAGCGCGGGGAGCAAACAGGAUUAGAUACCCUAGUAGUCC